This 61-nucleotide transfer RNA is filed under the name Urocitellus parryii (Arctic ground squirrel). RNAcentral's name for it is "Spermophilus parryii (Arctic ground squirrel) tRNA". It matches the Rfam family "tRNA", at positions 6 to 65 of the family's 71-position model. From Rfam's summary of the family: Transfer RNA (tRNA) molecules are approximately 80 nucleotides in length. Their secondary structure includes four short double-helical elements and three loops (D, anti-codon, and T loops). Lineage: Eukaryota; Metazoa; Chordata; Mammalia; Rodentia; Sciuridae. RNAcentral also lists the same sequence under 1 other name. The record is from Rfam by way of RNAcentral.
UGUAGCUCAGUGGUAGAGCACUUGCUUAGCAUGCAUGAGGCCCUGAGGUUAAUUCCCAGCA